AAGACUAUACUUUCAGGGAUCAUUUCUAUAGUUUGUUACUAGAGAAGUUUCUCUGAACGUGUAGAGUACCCGAAACCACAAGGAGGAGUUGUAGUGUUCUCUCCUGAGCGUGAAGUUGGUUUUCAGUGCUGUUUUUACGGCUGCUGAUUGCCGUUGAUGAUCGUUCGUUCUUCUCCUUGGGAGGAGUGAGAGGGAGAGAACACAGUCUGAGUGGU
Molecule: small nucleolar RNA, 215 nt
Organism: Suricata suricatta (meerkat)
Lineage: Eukaryota; Metazoa; Chordata; Mammalia; Carnivora; Herpestidae
Gene: U3
Rfam family: Small nucleolar RNA U3
About the family: Small nucleolar RNAs (snoRNAs) are involved in the processing and modification of rRNA in the nucleolus. There are two main classes of snoRNAs: the box C/D class, and the box H/ACA class.
Source: Ensembl